GUGCAGAAAAAGUAACUUAACUUUGAUCGUCAGGAUAGUUGUGGAUAUUAGAAGGCCUGCUACAAGACAGCACCACAAGCCACUUCAUAUAUAUGGGACAGUGGUGGAAAAGGACAACUGCACAGGUCAGUGGUGAAGACAAAAUAACUCUCUUGGGCCUGCUGCUGUUCAGAAGUCAGGUUCUGUUGUCUACUGUAUGUAGCAACCGCACACUGGUAGUGCAGUGAAGCAAGUAUUUGACAAAUGCUCUUGACAUCAAUGAGACCUAUUAGUUCAUCACUUCGUUGAAACAAAGCCGGCAAUCCUAGUCUAUAUCUGACAGUAUGUGUGUGUGUGUGUUCAGAGUUACUGCAUCACGGACCACUUACGGCACCAUCCAUAAAACCCUCUAACCCCUUCUGUCUUACCAGAAGGAAGCUUAGAGGGAAAUAAAAUCAA
Long non-coding RNA from Sinocyclocheilus rhinocerous, 438 nucleotides. RefSeq lists it as uncharacterized. NCBI's taxonomy places the organism in Eukaryota, Metazoa, Chordata, Actinopteri, Cypriniformes, Cyprinidae. The transcript is spliced from 3 exons. The record is from RefSeq and is a predicted model, not a curated record.